This 490-nucleotide ribosomal RNA is filed under the name uncultured bacterium. Its description in RNAcentral is "partial 16S ribosomal RNA". It matches the Rfam family "Bacterial small subunit ribosomal RNA", at positions 30 to 507 of the family's 1533-position model. The record is from RNAcentral.
AUUGAACGCUGGCGGCAGGCCUAACACAUGCAAGUCGAACGGUAACAGAAAGCAGCUUGCUGCUUUGCUGACGAGUGGCGGCCGGGUGAGUAAUGUCUGGGAAACUGCCUGAUGGAGGGGGAUAACUACUGGAAACGGUAGCUAAUACCGCAUAACGUCGCAAGACCAAAGAGGGGGACCUUCGGGCCUCUUGCCAUCGGAUGUGCCCAGAUGGGAUUAGCUAGUAGGUGGGGUAAAGGCUCACCUAGGCGACGAUCCCUAGCUGGUCUGAGAGGAUGACCAGCCACACUGGAACUGAGACACGGUCCAGACUCCUACGGGAGGCAGCAGUGGGGAAUAUUGCACAAUGGGCGCAAGCCUGAUGCAGCCAUGCCGCGUGUAUGAAGAAGGCCUUCGGGUUGUAAAGUACUUUCAGCGGGGAGGAAGGGAGUAAAGUUAAUACCUUUGCUCAUUGACGUUACCCGCAGAAGAAGCACCGGCUAACUCCGUG